GGACCCUUAGCUCAGUUGGUUAGAGCAUCCGGCUCAUAACCGGGAGGUCGUAGGUUCGAGCCCUACAGGGUCCACCA
RNAcentral lists this transfer RNA (77 nucleotides) under Bacilli bacterium. RNAcentral describes it as "tRNA-Ile". It matches the Rfam family "tRNA". From Rfam's summary of the family: Transfer RNA (tRNA) molecules are approximately 80 nucleotides in length. Their secondary structure includes four short double-helical elements and three loops (D, anti-codon, and T loops). Lineage: Bacteria; Bacillati; Bacillota; Bacilli. RNAcentral also lists the same sequence under 1 other name. The record is from RNAcentral.